GAUUACUUUUUAAAUUUCCCCAAAUAUUCUGUUGUUCUGAGAAAAUAGUUUAUAAUUCACUCAAGCAAAUAGCCAAUAUUUCAGCAUUUAUUCUCAUUAAAUCUUUUUUUGCUUGUUAUACUUUCAACGCUAUUUCCAUCUCUGUCGAAGAUGUGGCAUUUCUUGUUUCCUCCACUACAAUAUUGCGGUAGCCUGCAUUAUGGUUCGAUUGUAAUGUUUUAACUUGAAAAGUCGAUGUGCAUAUAGGACGGUAGAUAUUUUUGCGACAGAUAGCCUAAGUUACCAUUGUUUCCAUGAAAUGUAGGACUACAUCGAACGGAUACUUUCGUUGUUACCUAACCAUGGCAUAUGCAUUUGGUUACUUGAUGUAGCCUACAUUUGAUUUUGUCUAAUAUUUCAGAGGCUGUAAGUGUAAAGGGUCCAACAAGUGAAUACUUGUGUCUUGGAAGACAAUCUUAUAAUUUCACAUACAUCUCAGUAGGCGACUUGUUCUCUAAACGUUCAAUAUGUUUUAUUAUUUUGUUCUGAGAAUAAUGUACACAUUAUUAUUAUUAUCAAAUGAACAAAUAGUAUAUUACAUUUGAUAAUAACUAGGUUGCAUUAUACCAACGCAGUGGAGAUAAUUACUGGUCCUGUAUGUACAAUUGAGGCUAUAUUGACAUGGAAACAUCUGUAAUUAAACAUUAUUUAUUCAAGAUGUCUUCUAAUAGCUACUCAUGGAGUCCAUGUUCAAGAGCUAGGUCAUCUGAUGACUGAAGGCUCAGUGUCAUUAAGUCAUUUAUUGUUUUGUAGUGUGUGUGUGUGUGUGGCAUCAGAGACAUUAUAUUAUACGUGUGUAAUCCCUAAGGUCUCUCUCCAGUACUGCUAAACAAUAUACCCCUUAUUCAGACACCUCAAGACCUGAAAACAUGCCUGCUGUGUCAUACAAAAACAACUACUGCAGAAAUUUGACUACAUGCAUCACCAUCUCAACUGAAUUUUCUGUGUUUGCAGGAUGCAGGACCUUGCUUGGACAGAUAUAUCAUCUUCUGAAGCCAGAAAAACAUAAAAACGCAGAGAAAUCAUUUGAGUGAGAGAGAUCAGUAGCUGUGUGGGCCUGGACAAGGAGAACAGGAGGAGGAGGAGAAACAGAGAGAAAAAUAGGAAGAGAACGAGAGGAUAGGAUUGAUGCCUGUUUGGAAGCAGUGAAUGAUGAACCAGGGAGCAGGUGAACCCAGCUGUCGAUGGCCAUGGGCUCUCUGGCUCCUCUCUUCCCGUGGCCCUCUGCUCCGUGCCGGGUUCUCAGGGAGCCGGCUGGGGCCAGCCAGGCAGCGGCAGAGUGGGCAGGCGAGCCGAGGCAAGGGGAGGCGAGGCAGGCUCUCAUCCCCGCUAGCAAGAUGCUCCUCAGAAAAGCGGAGCAGCAAAUCAAUAUGGAGGAGAGAGGCUAGCAGAGUUCGCCCAUCACUGCCCCCGGCCCUAGAGCCCAGGGACCCAGCGCUGCCAGCUCUCGCUCUCCUCCUCCUCUAGUAGCAGGACCAGAACCAGCCACUGUAUGGAGCACAUCAGUCAGAUCCUAACCCUCAACCACCCGCUUUCUCUCUAUCUGUGUGUGUGUAAGCAUGUCUGUAUGUGUGGUUCCGCCGUAGGGGCUUUCCUGGUCCAAGACCAUUUGAUAAAACUUUGCCAGCGAGAAAGAGAGAGAAUAAAAAACGGACGUCAAAGCUCUUUUAUUUAUUUUUUCGCUGAUUACUCAUUCUUACUCAUUCCACCUGACUGUUUGAGCGAGAGUUCUUAUAUUGAAUUGAACAGGGCUCUCUCGUCAGUCCCCCUCCAAGCAUGUACUGUACAGUCACUAUGCUCUACACAUCUGAUGAACCAGGAUAAAAGGACAAUUUGAACUUUUUUCUCUCGUCUGCAGAUUCAGAGAAAAUCUUUUUUCGCCUCCAGUUUUCUUCCUCACCCCUCAGGUUACUAUCAGAGGAGGUGGCAGAGGUUAUUGAUCUGUAUGGAGAUGGAAGAGGUGCUGGUUUUGAUACAGUACAGUUCACUGUCUGAUGGUUAUAUAGUAGUGCCUGAUAACCCAUUCACUGUACAGUGGAACUAUAUUCAGGAGUGAACGAGUCCUGAGUGAGAGAUGAAAAGGACGGUGAGCAUAUAGUGCCUGAACAGUGGUCUGAACAGUGGGCCUGAUCACUGGCCUAAACAGUAUCCACUAUUUCAUGUGACUUUUCUCCUCCAUAUUUGAACAAUUCUCUCCCCACAAGGAGCUUUGAAAAGACCUUCUAUACAAGAAGCCCUAUCUUUAGAUACAUAGAAAUAGGAAACAUUUGAUUAAAUAAGAAUGACUUUAAGUGCCUUUUUCUUUUGGAGAAGAAAGGGAUUGAAAACUUCUGGGCUGGAGAGGACAAAGGGGACAGAGAUAGUUUGGACCUGAAACAGGAAUACCUUUACACAGAGAGAUCUACAAACAACACAAUGUUGCAGACUUCACUUGAUGCUGAGGUUACAAUGGAGAUGCAGUGGAAGCAUCAAGCAUCAUGUCCCGUGCAGACCAAACCAGACACACAGAGAAUUAAAGCCGUUCACUGUAAUAAAAGUCAAUACAAAUACCCCACCACAGUCAAGAGGAUUCAGUUCUCCAAACUAUUGAUUAUCACCAAGUGUUUGUGUGGUCAGGUAAGUAGGAGUCUUAACAAGGGAAAGGGACUUUUAUAAGUGGUGGUUGAAAAGUAAUACAUUUUUUUGAAUAGUUUCAUUAGGUCUUAAUGAAAUAUUUUGAAACCAAUUUUAAGGGGAUAUUGGUUGAGAUCCCAAGGGAUCCUUUGCCCGUUUCUAUUUCAGAGUAAAGCUUUUAAAUGUAAAAUCCUUGAUUUGCUCAAGUCUUUGUAUGUGUUUGCACUGCAGCUUCAUUCUCUUACCUACAAUUUUCAUAUCAUUGAUCGCAAUAACUAUUUUUUAUGUAAAAAAUUAAAGACUGCUGCAUGUUUUCAGUGUCUUGUGGUAAAAAAUACAAAUAAAG
Molecule: long non-coding RNA, 2998 nt
Organism: Oncorhynchus nerka (sockeye salmon)
Lineage: Eukaryota; Metazoa; Chordata; Actinopteri; Salmoniformes; Salmonidae
Exons: 3
Source: RefSeq, a predicted model, not a curated record